Molecule: ribosomal RNA, 585 nt
Filed under: uncultured bacterium
Lineage: Bacteria
Description: bacterial SSU rRNA
Rfam family: Bacterial small subunit ribosomal RNA
Source: RNAcentral
CCUACGGGAGGCAGCAGUGGGGAAUUUUGGACAAUGGGCGAAAGCCUGAUCCAGCAAUGCCGCGUGAGUGAAGAGGGCCUUCGGGUUGUAAAGCUCUUUUGUCAGGGAAGAAACGGUGAGAGCUAAUAUCUUUUGCUAAUGACGGUACCUGAAGAAUAAGCACCGGCUAACUACGUGCCAGCAGCCGCGGUAAUACGUAGGGUGCAAGCGUUAAUCGGAAUUACUGGGCGUAAAGCGUGCGCAGGCGGUUUUGUAAGUCUGAUGUGAAAUCCCCGGGCUCAACCUGGGAAUUGCAUUGGAGACUGCAAGGCUAGAAUCUGGCAGAGGGGGGUAGAAUUCCACGUGUAGCAGUGAAAUGCGUAGAUAUGUGGAGGAACACCGAUGGCGAAGGCAGCCCCCUGGGUCAAGAUUGACGCUCAUGCACGAAAGCGUGGGGAGCAAACAGGAUUAGAUACCCUGGUAGUCCACGCCCUAAACGAUGUCUACUAGUUGUCGGGUCUUAAUUGACUUGGUAACGCAGCUAACGCGUGAAGUAGACCGCCUGGGGAGUACGGUCGCAAGAUUAAAACUCAAAGGAAUUGACGG